CGGUAAAGGUGAAACGGCGGGGUAAGAGCCCACCGGCGCGCUUGGUAACUUGCGUGGCCAUAUAAACCCAACUUGCAGUAAGAAGGGAUGGUUUUGGUCUUAUAUUAAAACCCUUCGCUAGAGCUUGUUUGUAAAAGCAAGCGUAGAUAAAUGAUCGCUCAAGACAGAACUCGGCUUAACGCCGUGCCUCCCUU
RNAcentral lists this RNase P RNA (194 nucleotides) under Campylobacter sp. RNAcentral's name for it is "partial RNase P RNA component class A". It matches the Rfam family "Bacterial RNase P class A", at positions 146 to 367 of the family's 367-position model. From Rfam's summary of the family: Ribonuclease P (RNase P) is a ubiquitous endoribonuclease, found in archaea, bacteria and eukarya as well as chloroplasts and mitochondria. Lineage: Bacteria; Pseudomonadati; Campylobacterota; Epsilonproteobacteria; Campylobacterales; Campylobacteraceae. The record is from RNAcentral.